GAUCAUGGCUCAGGAUGAACGCUGGCGGCGUGCUUAACACAUGCAAGUCGAACGAAGCAUUCCUAACCCUUCGGGGGAGGGGAAUGACUGAGUGGCGGACGGGUGAGUAACGCGUGGGUAACCUGCCUUAUACAGGGGGAUAACAGUUAGAAAUGACUGCUAAUACCGCAUAACCCGCUAGUACCGCAUGGUACAGACGGAAAAGAAUUUAUCGGUAUAAGAUGGACCCGCGUCUGAUUAGCUAGUUGGUGAGGUAACGGCCCACCAAGGCGACGAUCAGUAGCCGGCUUGAGAGAGUGAACGGCCACAUUGGGACUGAGACACGGACCCAAACUCCUACGGGAGGCAGCAGGUGGGGAAUAUUGCACAAGUGGGGGAAAAACCCCCUGAUGCAGCAACGCCGCGUGAAGGAAGAAGUAUUUCGGUAUGUAAACUCCUAUCAGCAGGAAAGAAAAUGACGGUACCUGACUAAGAACGCCCCGGCUAACUACGUGCCAGCCGCCGC
This 505-nucleotide ribosomal RNA is filed under the name uncultured bacterium. RNAcentral's name for it is "bacterial SSU rRNA". It matches the Rfam family "Bacterial small subunit ribosomal RNA", at positions 15 to 518 of the family's 1533-position model. The record is from RNAcentral.